This 497-nucleotide ribosomal RNA is filed under the name uncultured bacterium. RNAcentral's name for it is "partial 16S ribosomal RNA". It matches the Rfam family "Bacterial small subunit ribosomal RNA", at positions 28 to 507 of the family's 1533-position model. The record is from RNAcentral.
GAUGAACGCUGGCGGCGUGCCUAAUACAUGCAAGUCGAGCGAACAGACGAGGAGCUUGCUCCUCUGACGUUAGCGGCGGACGGGUGAGUAACACGUGGAUAACCUACCUAUAAGACUGGGAUAACUUCGGGAAACCGGAGCUAAUACCGGAUAAUAUAUUGAACCGCAUGGUUCAAUAGUGAAAGACGGUUUUGCUGUCACUUAUAGAUGGAUCCGCGCCGCAUUAGCUAGUUGGUAAGGUAACGGCUUACCAAGGCAACGAUGCGUAGCCGACCUGAGAGGGGGAACGGCCACACUGGAACUGAGACACGGUCCAGACUCCUACGGGAGGCAGCAGUAGGGAAUCUUCCGCAAUGGGCGAAAGCCUGACGGAGCAACGCCGCGUGAGUGAUGAAGGUCUUCGGAUCGUAAAACUCUGUUAUUAGGGAAGAACAAAUGUGUAAGUAACUAUGCACGUCUUGACGGUACCUAAUCAGAAAGCCACGGCUAACUACGUG